CUCCAUGCCUGCCAUUCAAGGGAACGGCAUUAACAGUGCACUCAGGGGAAGCCACCUGUCUGCCCUCUUCACCAGAGAAUGCCUGGUCCCUGCCUUCCGGAAUGGGUUUUUGGCAGCAUUUCAACCGGUCAUCAGAAGCUGUUAUGCUUAAUAGAAGGCUGGAUCAACCUCAUCAAGGAAAGAGGCACCUGUCCAUCCUUUUAGCAGUGAAGCACACUGAAAAACUGCUGUAGGGUAUAAAGAUCAACGGUGUGAAAAGAUUUCUGUCUGGUGAAGGAAGUAGGAACCUUAAUGGACUCGUUUGCUGGGGAACCACUACUGGUCACAGCUUUGUCUGAUAUUUUUAUUGGGAUUUUGUUAGCACUAUUAGAUUUUGAAAAUUGUACGUCAUCUUGACUAAACUACAAAUGGUGUUUUCUAAAGUACUCAGUGUUCGCUUAAGUCAGCUCCCAUUGACUCUGCUAGUCAAACGUAUUGGGAUUUCAGAGGGAGCAAAAUUAGCUUUUGAAAAAUUUCACCAAACUUUUCUAAAACAGUUUCUAAGUCUAGUUUUCCUUCUUCCCUAGUGAUCAAUGUGUUACAAACUCUGUGUGUGUGUUCGUUCUGUAGGACUAUUUAAAAUUAUGGUACAUGGAUAGGCAUGGUUUAGGCAGGAAAAACAGUACAUGGUGGAAUGUUAUCCUGUCCAAGAUUAUGCAAAUGUUAUAUCCAAUACUUUGCAUAAACAUUGUACUUGGUAUAAUAUUAUUAUACACUGGUAGGUCCAUAGGUAGCUGUUAUAGGGCUUUAUAGGACUGAUAAGUUUUUGUGCGAAACUGAAUUGUUAUAGCUCAAAUGACUAAGGAUGUAUUAUACAGUUUUCUGUUUGAAAAUCUGUGAAUUUAAAAAUUGCAAAAUGUUAUCCAAACUUUUGAUGCAAAUUUUUUGUUCCAAGCUUAGAGAGGGGCCUAUAUUUAUUAUGGCAAUUUUCCCCACUAGGUCUUUUAUUCAGCAUGGAAAUGAGAGAGUGAUGUUUGCCUCGUUAGCCUUUGUCUCCUGCACAUUAUAAAGGUUCCUCCCCCAUCAUGUGCAAUAAAGUGGCUACUCAGAUGUCCUUGGUCUUUAGGGAGUUUCUAGAACAGCUUCCGUGCUGAGGUUGAAAUAAUCUGCAGCCUGAAUCAAAUAUUCAAGUUGUUGCUGAGGCUGCCUGUCAGCAGCAGCCUGCUCUGUGAACAGUCCUGCUCUUCCUUACUUAAAUCUUUUUUCCUGACACUCUAUUUUAGAGCGGUUUACUGUAUGAUGACUAUCUGAUAAUGGGUUGACACAUACAGAAAGGCUGGUUAGGGACAGUUAGCCUAAUUUUAAAAGGUGCUGGGCAUCCAAAGUUUUUAGUUCAGAGGAACCCUAAGAGCUGAAAUCCCGAUUGUUAUGCGUUAUUUUGUGGCAUCAGUCACAUGGGUCACAGUUAGCGCUUAUACCCACCACAUAGCGGGAAGUCAGUUUCCACUGUGCCCAGGGGGCUGUUAUAAUCAUUCUAUGCCAUUCCCUGGUAAUUAAAUAGCCCAGACUAGUCAUAGUCUAGGCACCUCCAGCUGAUAUGCAAGAUGCAAAACUAUCUGCAGUUUUACUGAGAGAGAGAGAGCCCUAAGACAUAGAGCAGACACUCUCAAAACUGCAUGGGCACGUGGAAGCUGUUUGUUCCCAGAGACUGUAAUGAGGUUCUGCAUGUUACACUUACCAGUGCUAGGCCUCAGGAAAAAGCCAACUGGAGUCUAUGCCACAGCCGGAAAUGGCACAAAAGGACAUAAGGCCAGAACAAAGGUAGCCCAGGCUGCAUUCUAAUGUGAUCGGCAGCAAAGAGAUUGGGAACUAAUACUCUAAGGCCUAGUCUUUGAGUUGAGAUAGCACUUAGUAAGGCAAAAUAGAGCCCUUAGCAAGAAGCUAUAUUUUUCAGGAUAGCAAAGCAUAAUAGUUUCUAUUCCAUUGUGCGUACACAUCAGAGAACAACAAAAAGGCAAGGGGAGCUGCACACGCCUUCCUGCCAAGCACAUGCUGUCAUACUUUAUCAAGGGUGAUGUGACAAACAUGUUGUUUAAGUAUCACCAAAGUUAAGAAAUUUUAAUUCUUGUCUCCUCUGAACAGUUCUGGGCAUUCCCAUAGAGCAACGAUUACGCAGACAGAGUUUUGCCUACCUGAAGAGUUAAAAAAAUCUAGGUCCCUUCCCUCGGAUCAUGAGGUUUUUAAAACAAUUUAUACCUAUUGGGUUCUUGGUCAGGUUUUCAAGCUUUUUUCCUGCAACCAGAAAGGCUAGAAACUCUGCCUUGUACAUAAAAGCUAGAAUCUUUUGCUUCCAGGAGCUGGGGCGCUGAACAAAGCACCGAAUAUCGCAAGACUCACAAUAGAAAUCAUGAGCAUUCGUUGCACUGCAGAUGCUUCCAACCUACAAUUGCCACACCAAAUCAGAUGAGUGGUCCAUCUACUUUCAAUCUACUUCAAACCUGUCCAUAGGAUGGUUCAGGGCAGCUGCCACAGCCCCCAAGCUUUUGGGGGCCCCUGCCGCAGCCACCUCAACCAUUCUAUGGAUGGACCUGGCAUGGGCAGCAGCAGGGGGCAGCCUGCCCUCCCCUUCAUUGUGGCAGUGCGAAGCUGGAACAGCCUGGAAGCCUGCUCUGCCCUGCCACCCUUUCCUGGCCUGCAUUCAGCUUCUCCAUGGCAGCAGGAAAUAGAGUGCCCUGCCCCCAGGGUGCUCCAUUUCCUGCCACCACAGAGAAGCAUGCAGCAGAUGGGGAGGGUGGCGUGGCAAAGCAGGCUGCUGGGCCACUCCAGCUUCUGCCACCCUAAUGAAUGUGGGAGUGAGGGGAGACCCCUGCUUCCACCCAGACCCCAGUGAUCCACUGGCUUGCAUCAUGUGAGGGGAAGGAGCACAGCAGUGGCAGGAAGGGGUGUGACAGCGGCAGUACUUAAAGGAAAGGGUGGAACCGGGCAGGGCCUGUGGAGGGCUGCCCAGACCCCACACCUAGGGCAUGGUGGGGAGUAGAGGCGGCAGUAGCUGCAGGCCUCAUGUCCCCCAAGAGAUAGUCUGGACUUCAGAAUUGGGCCAGAGACCAGUUAUAAAUAUUUAUAGUGCACCAAGUUAAAUAUGAGUCACCAAUGUGACUGUUACAAAAAAGCAAA
Pelodiscus sinensis (Chinese soft-shelled turtle) is the source of this 3153-nucleotide non-coding RNA. The record is from RefSeq and is a predicted model, not a curated record. Lineage: Eukaryota; Metazoa; Chordata; Testudines; Trionychidae.